UGCGUAGGCGGAUUAAUAAGUCAGUGGUGAAAUCUUUCGGCUCAACCGAGAAACUGCCAUUGAUACUGUUAAUCUUGAGUUCGGUAGAGGUAGGCGGAAUGUGUAAUGUAGCGGUGAAAUGCUUAGAUAUUACACAGAACACCAAUUGCGUAGGCAGCUUACUAUGCCGACACUGACGCUGAGGCACGAAAGCGUGGGGAGCGAACAGGAUUAGAUACCCUGGUAGUCC
This 229-nucleotide ribosomal RNA is filed under the name uncultured bacterium. Its description in RNAcentral is "partial 16S ribosomal RNA". It matches the Rfam family "Bacterial small subunit ribosomal RNA", at positions 568 to 796 of the family's 1533-position model. The record is from RNAcentral.